RNAcentral lists this ribosomal RNA (477 nucleotides) under uncultured bacterium. RNAcentral describes it as "partial 16S ribosomal RNA". It matches the Rfam family "Bacterial small subunit ribosomal RNA", at positions 30 to 507 of the family's 1533-position model. The record is from RNAcentral.
AUUGAACGCUGGCGGCAUGCCUUACACAUGCAAGUCGAACGGUAACAGGUUAAGCUGUCGCGUGGCGAACGGGUGAGUAAUACAUCGGAACGUGCCCAGUAGUGGGGGAUAGCCCGGCGAAAGCCGGAUUAAUACCGCAUACGACCUAAGGGUGAAAGGGGGGGAUCGCAAGACCUCUCGCUAUUGGACCUGCCGAUGUCAGAUUAGCUAGUUGGUGGGGUAAAAGCUCACCAAGGCGACGAUCUGUAGCUGGUCUGAGAGGACGACCAGCCACACUGGGACUGAGACACGGCCCAGACUCCUACGGGAGGCAGCAGUGGGGAAUUUUGGACAAUGGGCGCAAGCCUGAUCCAGCCAUGCCGCGUGCGGGAAGAAGGCCUUCGGGUUGUAAACCGCUUUUGUCAGGGAAGAAAUCCUUUGGGUUAAUACCUCGGGGGGAUGACGGUACCUGAAGAAUAAGCACCGGCUAACUACGUG